Molecule: unclassified non-coding RNA, 347 nt
Filed under: Hevea brasiliensis (rubber tree)
Lineage: Eukaryota; Viridiplantae; Streptophyta; Magnoliopsida; Malpighiales; Euphorbiaceae
Source: RNAcentral
GAAACUUAAGUCAGUAUAGUUGGUAGGCAGACCUGAAAACAUGAGAGCAGUCAGAAGCUCAAUGGGAACAGAAUUCCAGGGUAUGCAUUAUUAUAAUUCUAUUGAAGCCUGAAGUAAGAAGACAACAAGGGUAGGAGCUGAGACAAUUCACGUGUAAUAGGAAACUAAACCUAUUGAAGGAUUUGGAGAACUGAGAAAAGGACCUACUUUAAGCCUAAGAACUGAUAGUGAUACAACACUAAAUCAAAGCUUUGAAAUAUGCUGAUUGAAAUCCAACACCUGCUGUUACUAAACAAGGCAAAAUUUAACCUGAAUUGAGCUGGCUGCUGCUGGGUUCCCAAGGCUCG